UAUUAUUUGUAGAAUAUUUUCUCCAAGGUAUAAUUACGUGAAUAUUUUUUGUUACAUCUUUAUCGUAAUAAUGAAUAUUGAAAAAUCAGUUCAUCUUUCGUAAUUGCCCGCCAAAUUGCUUGCUCACUUAGAGGCGUUCUAUUCCGAUUCCGCGUUCCAGCGUUUGUGGUAGCUACGAAAAAUCAAGACGCGGAACGUUACACUCCGAAUUAUUCGCAAGUUUGACUAUUUAUACAUGGGCAGACGUCGUUUCUACAGGGUCGUGUGUCAGCGUCGUCAUCUUCCCUCCAUUUCGAAAGAUCGUCAAACAUGAGAAUUAUCGUGAAUUCAUCUGCAUCAAGGUUCUCACGGUGUCGUUACGAGGAGGUGUUCGCCUGUAAACUGCACAUUUCGACCGACGAUGGCCAGCCUGAAUGCUAGCACCAGCGACGACACUAAGAAACACAAGUAACACGUAUGUUUUUCGACCUAUGUAUUUACAAAUAUAGGGCCCAGGGAUUGGUGGGUUUGUACUUUACUUGCGGAACAGCAUGGCUUUAUAGUUGGUAUAUCAAUCUGAAGCAUAGUUUCAGUAACGUGGACGCCGAGAAUUAUAUUAAGUGUAUCAAUAAUAUAUUUGUAUUCAUAAAAUUCGUUGUCGCGGCAAAAAUACCGCAAUCAUCGAUCGAUUUACAUAAUCGUUUAAAAUCGCGAAAUACACCGUUCAAGAUAAUUGCAGGAUUCCCUUUUUCGUUUUGUUUUUUUUCUCAACGUUUGGUAUGUUUUCCUCGCGAUCCUCUAAUCAGUUUGAACGAUGCAAUUCGUUAUUCUAUGUACAAGUAAGUACUGGCCCGGGUCCCGUUCGCGCAGAAAAAUCUUGCCUACUUAUUUAACAUUUACACUUUUGUCCCCGCCUUAUUCGCUAAUACGUGAUAUUUCGGUACAAGAUGAAGUGCCCCGUGAUUCGCACCCACACGCAACUGGGAAUCGAAUUAAAUAGAAUACAUCUACAAUUGCACGUGUCCGAGGUCGCUACCUAAAUACGAUCAACAAUUAUUAACCAUAAAAUAAAAUACUGGCCAUUUAUUGACUACCUCGAUAAUCCUUCGAUAACAAGAAUACCUAACAAAGCAUAAGUGUACAUGAAAUCGCUAACAUCGCCUUCGUCGCGAUGCUUGCAACGGUGUAAAAAAUAAGGGACGCGUUCGACGUUACGCUUAACAAGAAUAUCUUAAGAAAACAUACAUAUUUACAGUCUCUAUAUACAUACAACAAUCGUAGAUUCGAGUAUACUUAGGGUGAAGACAAUAACUUUGUCAUCUUGAAUAUUUCCGUUAGUUGUAAUGCAGUGAUGAAAUUUAUCACGACGAACUUGCACUGUUUCGAGGAGCACUUAUAGCGGCAGAACAUAAUUUUUUCCAAGGUCAUUUUUUACGAGAUUUCAAGGUCAUCAAUGGUUUUCUUUAACGAAACACUAUAUUUUUUAAAUCUUCUUUCAGUUUUUGAAUAAAUAACAGAAACAUUCAAAGUGGACGAAGUUAUUGAUUUAUCCUGUUUAACGACACGAUUGUUGAUUUCGUUAACGCUCUGGGGUGGGACGUUGAAUACUGUACAUUAUUCGUUGUAUCGAAAUUGUCAUGGAUCACUCUCUUGCUAGAAACAAGAGUCAAGGAGAUCUCGGCUAGGAUAUUUCAAAGGCAGGCCCUAUCACAGGGUAAAUCAGCCUCAAAUUUAUAGAAAUCUAAAUUCUUCUGGGGAUGAAACUCAGCACUACUAACUCUUCGCAUUGAAAAUUAUUGCUUAUUAUAAAAAGAAAGACUUCUUAACAUACCGGGGACUUUUAAAAGGGCGUGGAGGCCUCUGAAAUGUUCCUCUCCGAAUUGAGCGAGCCUUGGAUGGUCUGUUCAGCGUGCUAAAAGCAAAUCUGUGUUCGAAGCGUCUAGGUUCGGUCUCAACGGCUGAGAAAGUAUCGUCCAGGCGUUUACCAGGAAGGAUCCCGUCGGUCCGUGAGUAGGAGCACAGGAAUUUCACCCGAAAUCCCCGUGCUCUCCGUAAUCGCGAGAUUCGUCAUGGAUUCCAGCGGAUACGGCCAAAGGGAGGGGGGUCGGGGUCGGGGUAGGGGGUGGACAGGUCGCGAUUCUCAUAUCGGCGGAGAUUCUUCGCGGCGUCGAGGGCAAAUACGCUUGGGACAAAAGCAGAGAAGAGGCGGCGGAGUGGCGGCGACGGAGGCGUUUACAUUGGCAGGCGUCGAACGCUUGUAAGAUAAAGCGGUUGGCAACGUUCUACACGUGUACGCCGGUUUGUAACGCACGUUCCGAACACGUGCACCCCGCAGUUUGACGUGUUUAUCAACCGAUGCACCGAUGUUGUUCUCCCUCUUCUGCGAACGCGUCUUCUCCUUCUCUCUUUCUUCCUCUCUUGUGCGAUUACCGCGCGAGCGCGCGCUCGUUAAUUAAAGCGGAGGACUCUCGUUAAAGUCGAUUGGCUUUUGCGCAACCAGCCAUCGAUCGGCGACUCGCGAUCCUCACCGUGAUUACCCGGAAUUGAGACGUUAAUCCUUCAUUCUUCCCAACCGCCACGGAUAUUUACGCGAGAUUGCGCUCUAGCCAAGCGCAUUUAACGAUUCGGGCGCGAAUGAUUUGUCUCCGUGAGAACGAUCGGGUAAUUCCUGAUCGGGCAAGAAUGCAGUUAAGGAUAACGCACGGUUCUGGGAAUCGUUGCGCGACCAUCGAGUACCCGCCGAGUUCGAGAAAAACAGGGAAUCGUAUGGCUACAGGCGCGAAGCAACGCGAAUCGAUGGAUCUCGAGUGAAA
Molecule: long non-coding RNA, 2792 nt
Organism: Hylaeus anthracinus
Lineage: Eukaryota; Metazoa; Arthropoda; Insecta; Hymenoptera; Colletidae
Exons: 3
Source: RefSeq, a predicted model, not a curated record